GAUAGUCUCCUGGGGAAUCCAUCGGCUCACCGAUGGGCAUUCAGGAGAUACUGGCAACCUAGGGACCGGGAGAGGUGAGAGGUACUCCAGGGGUAGGAGUGAAAUCUUGUAAUCCUUGGAGGACCACCUGUGGCGAAGGCGUCUCACCAGAACGGACUCUGACGGCGAGGGACGAAAGCUAGGGGCACGAACCGGAUUAGAUACCCGGGUAGUCCUAGCCUGUAAACGAUACUCGCUAGGUGUCUGCCACGACCGCGACCGUUGUCGGUGCCGAAGAGAAGUCGUGAAACGAGCCACCUGGGAAGUACGGCCGCAAGGCUGAAACUUAAAGGAAUUGGCGGGGGAGCACCACAACGGGUGGAGCUUGCGGUUUAAUUGGAUUCAACGCCGGAAAUCUUACCGGAACCGACAGCUGUAUGAUGGCCAGGCUGAAGACUUUGCCUGAUUAGCUGAGAGGUGGUGCAUGGCCGUCGUCAGUUCUCACUGU
This 487-nucleotide ribosomal RNA is filed under the name uncultured archaeon. Its description in RNAcentral is "bacterial SSU rRNA". It matches the Rfam family "Archaeal small subunit ribosomal RNA", at positions 532 to 1017 of the family's 1478-position model. The record is from RNAcentral.